AAAAUGCGAUAAGUAAUGUGAAUUGCAGAAUUCAGUGAAUCAUCGAGUCUUUGAACGCACAUUGCGCCCCCUGGUAUUCCGGGGGGCAUGCCUGUCCGAGCGUCAUUGCUGCCCUUCAAGCCCGGCUUGUGUGUUGGGUCGUCGUCCCCUCCGGGGGACGGGCCCGAAAGGCAGCGGCGGCACCGCGUCCGGUCCUCGAGCGUAUGGGGCUUUGUCACCCGCUCGAUAAGGACCGGCCGGGCGCCAGCCGGCGUCUCCAACCUUUUUUUCUCAGGUUGACCUCGGAUCAGGUAGGGAUACCCGCUGAACUUAAGC
Molecule: unclassified non-coding RNA, 315 nt
Filed under: plant metagenome
Description: partial contains 5.8S ribosomal RNA, internal transcribed spacer 2, and large subunit ribosomal RNA
Rfam family: 5.8S ribosomal RNA (bases 1-105)
Source: RNAcentral